AGCCCGGUGGUGUAGCGGCCAAUCAUUUCGGCCUUUGGAGCCGAAUACGCAGGUUCGAAUCCUGCCCGGGCUA
This 73-nucleotide transfer RNA is filed under the name Thermoplasmatales archaeon SW_10_69_26. RNAcentral's name for it is "tRNA-Gln". It matches the Rfam family "tRNA". Rfam says of the family: Transfer RNA (tRNA) molecules are approximately 80 nucleotides in length. Their secondary structure includes four short double-helical elements and three loops (D, anti-codon, and T loops). Lineage: Archaea; Methanobacteriati; Thermoplasmatota; Thermoplasmata; Thermoplasmatales. The record is from RNAcentral.